UACGUAGGGUGCGAGCGUUGUCCGGAAUUAUUGGGCGUAAAGAGCUCGUAGGCGGUUUGUCGCGUCGGCCGUGAAAACUUGGGGCUUAACCCCAAGCCUGCGGUCGAUACGGGCAGACUUGAGUUCGGCAGGGGAGACUGGAAUUCCUGGUGUAGCGGUGAAAUGCGCAGAUAUCAGGAGGAACACCGGUGGCGAAGGCAGCUCGCUGGGACGUUACUGACACUGAGGCGCGAAAGCGUGGGGAGCGAACAGG
This 253-nucleotide ribosomal RNA is filed under the name uncultured bacterium. RNAcentral describes it as "partial 16S ribosomal RNA". It matches the Rfam family "Bacterial small subunit ribosomal RNA", at positions 524 to 776 of the family's 1533-position model. The record is from RNAcentral.